AGAGUUUGAUCCUGGCUCAGGAUGAACGCCGGCGGUGUGCCUAAUACAUGCAAGUCGUACGCACUGGCCCAACUGAUUGAUGGUGCUUGCACCUGAUUGACGUUGGAUCACCAGUGAGUGGCGGACGGGUGAGUAACACGUAGGUAACCUGCCCCGGAGCGGGGGAUAACAUUUGGAAACAGAUGCUAAUACCGCAUAACAACAAAAGCCGCAUGGCUUUUGUUUGAAAGAUGGCUUUGGCUAUCACUCUGGGAUGGACCUGCGGUGCAUUAGCUAGUUGGUAAGGUAACGGCUUACCAAGGCGAUGAUGCAUAGCCGAGUUGAGAGACUGAUCGGCCACAAUGGAACUGAGACACGGUCCAUACUCCUACGGGGGGCAGCAGUAGGGAAUCUUCCACAAUGGGCGCAAGCCUGAUGGAGCAACACCGCGUGAGUGAAGAAGGGUUUCGGCUCGUAAAGCUCUGUUGUUGGAGAAGAACGUGCGUGAGAGUAACUGUUUACGCAGUGACGGUAUCCAACCAGAAAGUCACGGCUAACUACGUGCCAGCAGCCGCGGUAAUACGUAGGUGGCAAGCGUUAUCCGGAUUUAUUGGGCGUAAAGCGAGCGCAGGCGGUUGCUUAGGUCUGAUGUGAAAGCCUUCGGCUUAACCGAAGAAGUGCAUCGGAAACCGGGCGACUUGAGUGCAGAAGAGGACAGUGGAACUCCAUGUGUAGCUGUGGAAUGCGUAGAUAUAUGGAAGAACACCAGUGGCGAAGGCGGCUGUCUGGUCUGCAACUGACGCUGAGGCUCGAAAGCAUGGGUAGCGAACAGGAUUAGAUACCCUGGUAGUCCAUGCCGUAAACGAU
Molecule: ribosomal RNA, 846 nt
Filed under: uncultured bacterium
Lineage: Bacteria
Description: bacterial SSU rRNA
Rfam family: Bacterial small subunit ribosomal RNA
Source: RNAcentral